GAAUUCGCCCUUAGAGUUUGAUCCUGGCUCAGGAUGAACGCUGGCGGCGUGCUUAACACAUGCAAGUCGAACGGACGAUGAAGAGCUUGCUUUUCAAAGUUAGUGGCGGACGGGUGAGUAACGCGUGGGUAACCUGCCUCAUACAGGGGGAUAGCAGCUGGAAACGGCUGAUAAAACCGCAUAAGCGCACAGCGUCGCAUGAUGCAGUGCGAAAAACUCCGGUGGUAUGAGAUGGCCCCGCGUCUGAUUAGCUAGUUGGUGAGGUAACGGCUCACCAAGUCGACGAUCAGUAGCCGGACUGAGAGGUUGAACGGCCACAUUGGGACUGAGACACGGCCCAGACUCCUACGGGAGGCAGCAGUGGGGAAUAUUGCACAAUGGGGGAAACCCUGAUGCAGCGACGCCGCGUGGAGGAAGAAGGUUUUCGGAUUGUAAACUCCUGUCUUAAAGGACGAUAAUGACGGUACUUUAGGAGGAAACUCCGGCUAAAUACGUGCCAGCAGCCGCGGUAAUACGUAGGGAGCGAGCGUUGUCCGGAAUUACUGGGUGUAAAGGGAGCGUAGGCGGGACGGCAAGUCAGAUGUGAAAUACAUGGGCUCAACCCAUGGGCUGCAUUUGAAACUGCUGUUCUUGAGGUGAAGAAAAGGUAAGCGGAAUUCCUGGUUGUACCGGAGAAAUGCGUAGAUUAUAAGGAGGAAACCCCCGCUGCUACAAGGCUGCUUAUUGGGUCUUUUACUUGACCUUGAUCCUUUAAAAGCUGGGGGACACAACAUCAUUAAACACCCCGGUUAUACCACCCCCACAACAACGCACUUCCACGGCGGGGGGUGACUUACCCCCUC
Molecule: ribosomal RNA, 842 nt
Filed under: uncultured bacterium
Lineage: Bacteria
Description: bacterial SSU rRNA
Rfam family: Bacterial small subunit ribosomal RNA
Source: RNAcentral